Molecule: non-coding RNA, 31 nt
Filed under: Mus musculus (house mouse)
Lineage: Eukaryota; Metazoa; Chordata; Mammalia; Rodentia; Muridae
Source: RNAcentral
UGGUUAAAACAGCUAUAACAAAACCCAAAAA